GAUCUUCAGGUUGCUUCAGAGGAUGUUGUCUAUGACUUUGUUUUAAAGUGGGCUCGGACCCAUUACCCAAACUUGGAAGAAAGACGUGAAAUAUUGGGGUCUCGUCUUUGUCACCUCAUUCGUUUUCCAUACAUGACAUGCAGCAAGCUGAGGAAAGUUCUAACUUGUAAUGAUUUUGAUCCUGAACUAGCUUCCAAGAAUGUAUUGGGGGCUUUAUUUUUCAAAGCUGAAGCACCGCACCGGCAGCGUUUGCUUGUUGCUGAGGAGGGCAAUGCAUCAUGUAGUAGUUUUGUGGAGCGUGCUUACAAGUUUAGACCAAUUAAAGUUCUCAAUUUUGAACUUCCCUUUCAGCAGUGUAUCGUUUACCUAGAUUUAA
RNAcentral lists this unclassified non-coding RNA (376 nucleotides) under Hevea brasiliensis (rubber tree). The record is from RNAcentral. Lineage: Eukaryota; Viridiplantae; Streptophyta; Magnoliopsida; Malpighiales; Euphorbiaceae.